CAACUGGUGACCCAAUUGCCAAGACAACUGGACAGAUUUUAAGCAUAAGCAAGUCCCUGGGUGGUGAAGGUAGAGAUGUGCACCCUGAAAAGGUCAGACAGCUGCUGAAACCUCCGUGUGCUCCCAGUUCUGACAAAAAUGAGGUGGAGGCAAAGACAACUCCAGAGCCAGCCUGAGGAGUAGGAGAGGAGUGUGCCAGUCAAAAGAGAGCAGGAACAGCAGAGGAUGAAAAGUGAGGAACAGGCUGAGAUCUAAUCUGACCCAACUCAUUGAUUCCCUCCCUGACCUUGGGUAAGCCUUUUGACCUGCCUGGGCCUCAGUCAACUCAGCUGGAAAAUUGGGUAAAGAGCAGAGCCAGUUAGAA
Molecule: long non-coding RNA, 364 nt
Organism: Manacus vitellinus (golden-collared manakin)
Lineage: Eukaryota; Metazoa; Chordata; Aves; Passeriformes; Pipridae
Exons: 3
Source: RefSeq, a predicted model, not a curated record